UGGGGAAUUUUGGACAAUGGGCGAAAGCCUGAUCCAGCAAUGCCGCGUGUGUGAAGAAGGCCUUCGGGUUGUAAAGCACUUUUGUCCGGAAAGAAAUGGCUCUGGUUAAUACCUGGGGUCGAUGACGGUACCGGAAGAAUAAGGACCGGCUAACUACGUGCCAGCAGCCGCGGUAAUACGUAGGGUCCAAGCGUUAAUCGGAAUUACUGGGCGUAAAGCGUGCGCAGGCGGUUGUGCAAGACCGAUGUGAAAUCCCCGAGCUUAACUUGGGAAUUGCAUUGGUGACUGCACGGCUAGGGUGUGUAAGAGGGGGGUAGAAUUCCACGUGUAGCAGUGAAAUGCGUAGAGAUGUGGAGGAAUACCGAUGGCGAAGGCAGCCCCCUGGGAUAACACUGACGCUCAUGCACGAAAGCGUGGGGAGCAAACAGG
Molecule: ribosomal RNA, 429 nt
Filed under: Bacillota bacterium
Lineage: Bacteria; Bacillati; Bacillota
Description: Firmicutes bacterium partial 16S ribosomal RNA
Rfam family: Bacterial small subunit ribosomal RNA
Source: RNAcentral